RNAcentral lists this unclassified non-coding RNA (258 nucleotides) under uncultured fungus. RNAcentral's name for it is "sequence contains ITS1". Lineage: Eukaryota; Fungi. The record is from RNAcentral.
GUAUAGUUUUUAAAAGGGUUCAAUCAAGUCCCCUUUAGAAAAGACAUUCAAAAACAUACAUUUAGAGUGUGUGUAGACAUAGAAAAGCCUGAUACUUCAAGGGGGAAUUGCCCCUUUUUUUUUCUCAGACUCUCUACAAAAAGUGCACAGGUGGAUGAAAAUAUCGAAAGAAAGGCAAGCACUUGCCCUAGAAGAGCCAGCUCAACCUCCCUUUACAAUGUUUCAAUAAUGAUCCUUCCGCAGGUUCACCUACGGAAA